Non-coding RNA from Paramuricea clavata, 404 nucleotides. The record is from the annotation of a GenBank genome assembly. NCBI's taxonomy places the organism in Eukaryota, Metazoa, Cnidaria, Anthozoa, Malacalcyonacea, Plexauridae.
GCUAUGUUUUUCUUUGGAAGCUGGCUACAACCAGUAGCCUCAGGUCCCAAAGAUUUUAGCUUUCCAAGAUUCUUCUCAGUAUUCUUGCCGUCCCUAACAAUGCUGUUUUUUGUAGAAGUUCUAUUCUUAUAUGUAUUCCCAAUUUCUCAAUCCACUUAUCCAGUUUAUUACUAACUGCUCCUAAGGCACCUACUACUAUUGGAAUGACUUCUACUUUUUUCAUUGCCCAUAUUUUCCGAAUUUCCCUUUUUAACUCCUCAUACUUUUCUACCUUCUCUGUUUCUUUCAUACCAAUUCUACAGUCCCCUGGAACUGCGAUGUCUAUGAUCUUGCAUUCCUUUUCCUUCUUUAAAACCAAUACAAUAUCAGGUCUUCGACAUUCAAUCACAUGAUCGCACUGUAUG